CUUGUUUCCAUUUGGAGAACCUAAAUUUCAAUCCUUUUUCUCUUCCCCGUAAGAAAAUUCAAAAUUUCAAUUCCGCAAAUCGAAAAUUCCCUCCUUGCUUUGCCCUUUGUCUCUCUUUUUGUGUAGCGUCAUAAUCGAUCAGUUGAAAGCUAAGAAGAGAGUGAGUUGGAGAAGGUUUGGUUAGGAUCCAUCGAUGGCGGGGUACAAGGCCGAUGACGAGUACGAUUACCUUUUCAAGCUGGUUCUGAUCGGCGAUUCCGGCGUGGGGAAGUCCAACCUCCUCUCGCGCUUCACGCGGAACGAGUUCAAUUUGGAGUCCA
Molecule: long non-coding RNA, 320 nt
Filed under: Phaseolus vulgaris (common bean)
Lineage: Eukaryota; Viridiplantae; Streptophyta; Magnoliopsida; Fabales; Fabaceae
Description: long non-coding RNA (PVUL_LNC003093)
Source: RNAcentral